This 429-nucleotide ribosomal RNA is filed under the name uncultured bacterium. RNAcentral's name for it is "bacterial SSU rRNA". It matches the Rfam family "Bacterial small subunit ribosomal RNA", at positions 29 to 506 of the family's 1533-position model. The record is from RNAcentral.
ACGAUCGCUGGCGGCAGGCUUAACACAUGCAAGUCGAACGCCCCGCAAGGGGAGUGGCAGACGGGUGAGUAACGCGUGGGAAUCUACCCAAUUCUUCGGAACAACUGAGGGAAACUUCAGCUAAUACCGGAUACGCCCUACGGGGGAAAGAUUUAUCGGAAUUGGAUGAGCCCGCGUUGGAUUAGCUAGUUGGUGAGGUAAUGGCUCACCAAGGCGACGAUCCAUAGCUGGUCUGAGAGGAUGAUCAGCCACACUGGGACUGAGACACGGCCCAGACUCCUACGGGAGGCAGCAGUGGGGAAUAUUGGACAAUGGGCGAAAGCCUGAUCCAGCCAUGCCGCGUGAGUGAUGAAGGCCUUAGGGUUGUAAAGCUCUUUCAGUAGGGACGAUAAUGACGGUACCUACAGAAGAAGCCCCGGCUAACUUCGU